CAGGAUUGCUGUGCAAGGGUAAAAUGUCCCAGAGCGUUGCUGAGUUUAAUAAGGUCUAGCACCGGGAGUCCGAAAUGUCUCUCUCUGACAGGUUAGGCAGGGAUAGCCUGACAGCGUGAGUUUAUCCCGUCAGUUUGGCAAGGUUCUCCCUUAUGCUGUUCUCUGGGCAUAAAACCUAUUUUGCAUAAAUGCAGGACAUGAAGUUAGAGGUGAAUCUUUGUAUUUAGUCUUUCUUCUGUCUCCCAUUGUGGUGUUAGGUUCUAACAUUUUGUCUCGUUCUAUUUUUCCCUCCUUUUCCUUCAAAUUACACCAUAUUUGAUUGUUGGCCAGUUCAUAAGAGUUUUUAAUACUCUACCAACCAUUUACUGUGUCAUUUAUAGCUUUCUCACUUAUCUGUCUCCCACAGAUCUUCUAAGCCCUUCCUUCUGGCUAGUUUCCCAAAGAAACGGAAGUCUCCAGUGCACGGCUGCCUCUCUAUGGCCAAGUCCAAAAGGAAAAGUUAUAAAACGCUUGCCCAGCCCCAGAGGUCCACAGAUUCCCCAGGCUUUCAUGCAUGCCUUCAAAUGGCAUUGGCACGUGAGUGACUGUGGGGAAGAUUAAUCUGGGCAACAGUGCACAAUAUUGUGGGUUUCCAGCCACCGGCAAAUAUGUGCUGGCUCUCUUUCCCACCACAGAUACUUCAAAUGACAAGGCAUCAGCCCCGGCCAAAAUGCGACUGCGGUGAAAGGCAACUAAGAAGUACUUACUGACAGGCAUCACAGAGCAGACUGGCCACCAGGUCUUGCCAGUCUCCGGGCUGAAGGCCACCGUGGGAAUUUUGAGCACACGAGCCUCAGGGAUCGAUUGGGAGCCUCAACAUCGUGUUGCAAUGGAAGUGAGAAAAGAAAGCAGAGACCUGUAUUUUCAGGGGAAAGAAGGAAGUCAAGCAGUGUUCCUUUUGAAUGGAUGUGGGAUAAAGAAACGUAUGGGGGUCAGCCAGCCACCACCUCUGCUUGAUCCUGAGAAGAGUGGUUUUGUUUUCAUGGGCCAACAAGUCAUCUAGAUCCGCGAUGGAACGUGUGUGAUAUGGUAAUAGUUACAGUACUGUAACACUGUAAUAGUUGCCUGUAGUGCUGCUAAGUCUAGUCUAAAGAAAUAGCCUUGGCUGCUCCUCUAAGACAGUCGUUUCCAGGUACAUAUUCAGGUUGUUUACUUGACUCCCUCCAGUGAAAGGUAUUUGGCCCAAGAAUAGGCCUCCUUGAGGAUCGUGGCCUCUUGAUCAAUAAAAUGAGGAAGAGGAUGAGAUGGAGUGGCCGG
Molecule: long non-coding RNA, 1296 nt
Filed under: Struthio camelus australis
Lineage: Eukaryota; Metazoa; Chordata; Aves; Struthioniformes; Struthionidae
Description: lncRNA (ENSSCUG00000006064.1)
Source: RNAcentral